RNAcentral lists this ribosomal RNA (491 nucleotides) under uncultured bacterium. RNAcentral describes it as "partial 16S ribosomal RNA". It matches the Rfam family "Bacterial small subunit ribosomal RNA", at positions 29 to 507 of the family's 1533-position model. The record is from RNAcentral.
AGUGAACGCUGGCGGUAGGCCUAACACAUGCAAGUCGAACGGCAGCACAGUAAGCGCUUGCUCUUACGGGUGGCGAGUGGCGGACGGGUGAGGAAUACAUCGGAUUCUACUUUUUCGUGGGGAUAACGUAGGGAAACUUACGCUAAUACCGCAUACGACCUACGGGUGAAAGCAGGGGAUCUUCGGACCUUUCGCUAUUGCAUGAGCCGAUGUCGGAUUAGCUAGUUGGCGGGGUAAAGGCCCACCAAGGCGACGAUCCGUAGCUGGUCUGAGAGGAUGAUCAGCCACACUGGAACUGAGACACGGUCCAGACUCCUACGGGAGGCAGCAGUGGGGAAUAUUGGACAAUGGGCGAAAGCCUGAUCCAGCAAUACCGCGUGAGUGAAGAAGGCCUUCGGGUUGUAAAGCCCUUUUGUUGGGAAAGAAAAGCAGCAGGUUAAUCCCCGGCUGUUCUGACGGUACCCAAAGAAUAAGCACCGGCUAACUUCGUG